UACAGAGGUGGCAAGCGUUGUUCGGAAUUACUGGGCGUAAAGGGCGCGUAGGCGGCCUACUAAGUCAGACGUGAAAUCCCCCGGCUUAACCUGGGAACUGCGUCUGAUACUGGAAGGCUUGGGUAUGGAGAGGGAUGUAGAAUUCCAGGUGUAGCGGUGAAAUGCGUAGAUAUCUGGAGGAAUACCGGUGGCGAAGGCGGCAUCCUGGACCAUUACUGACGCUGAGGCGCGAAAGCUAGGGGAGCAAACGGG
This 252-nucleotide ribosomal RNA is filed under the name uncultured bacterium. RNAcentral's name for it is "partial 16S ribosomal RNA". It matches the Rfam family "Bacterial small subunit ribosomal RNA", at positions 524 to 776 of the family's 1533-position model. The record is from RNAcentral.